UUGAACCCCUUCUUCUCAAACUCUCGCUGCAACACUACCUAAAUCCUUGCCGCCGCCACCUAAUUCCACCCUAACCCACCUCAAUCCCUACCUAAUCCAUAGUCUCUCAUGGCGUUUUGAGACAUGUACUCAUCUCCUAUGUCUAGUGGCUACAUAUUUUUCAUGAUUCCAUGGAAAAAUCUCGACAAGAUCUAGUCCAGUCCUUACUUGACUUCGAUCUCCAGUCUUUCUCCGGCCAUCCAUGGCUUUUCAAGUUAGAUCCUUGACUUUUCCAACUAGAUCGAUAUUUUCUAAAACCUUUCUCACUUUCUUUGGGUUCUAUGAAACCCUAGCUCUAAGAGCUGUUCUAUUUUUCUUUCAGAUCUAUCUUAGAUCUGUGCUUAUUACGAACUUUUUAAGUGUUUUCUCGAAGGUUCUCGAUUUUCUUUCAAAAUGACUCUUCAUUUUUUCAGCAAUUAGGGUUUCUCUUAAUUUCUUUUGAAGAUCUCUUCUCUGAUUUUUGGUGCUACUUUAUGAUUUUACUUGUUCAACAACUUGUUUAUGUUUUCCUUCUACUUGAUUUAGCAUGUUAAAAACCCUAGGUCUUUCUGGUCCUAUCCGAGUUCUGAAACUGUCCUUGUUUGUUUGAAUGCAUAUUUGUUCGAUUAAGUUCUUUGUUUUAACUCUCUUUUCCUUGUUUGACUUAUCUGAUUCUAAGUUAUUAUCAUCUCUUAAGCUCGACUACUAUUAAAUCCCUAAUUUCUUAAAAGGUUUUCCUUACUUGUUACUGUGAGAACUUUACUUGUUUCUGACUCUCUUUACCUGUUACGAUGCUUUCUUCACUUUUGAUUUUGUGCAAUUACCUGACCUUAUUGACUACUGUGCUUUGGGUAGAUCUCUUUUACUACUAAAUCCUAAAUUAUUCCUGCUACUACUAUAUGGUUAUGUUGUUUCUUUUUCCAAUGUAUUUGGCCUUGUAUGUCUGAUACUGAUGUUCAUGCUAUUUAUAUGUUGAGGUGCAGAAUCAUGAUCCUUUCUUGAUUGAUUCUAACUCCCUCAAUGUUGCGAUUGAUUGCAAAAGGUUUUCUUGUGAGCCCUAAUUUUAUUCGUAUGUUUAAAUUGAUAGAUUCACUUCCUUUAAUUAUUGUGAUAUUUUACCUUGAAUCCUUUCCCAAAAUCAAGCAUAUAUUCUGUACCUAGACUCAAUUGUAUACUUUAUAUUUUAAUACCCCUUAUAUGGAAAGAAUCAAUCUGUCUCAUACUGAUUUCUUUCCUUAAUUAACCUUGUUAGUAUCCGUUUGAGCAAUACUUCCUUGAUUAAAGGGAAGUACUUGUGUUAAUUGGAUCUGUUUGUGAUUAUUUCUAUGUUUGUGUUAAGACUUUACUUAUUACCUUAACUUCUACUUGUCUUCCAAACUAUAACUACCCUACCCUUUCUUCUUUUAGACACGAACAAUUUGAGUUCAGAACACACACUUACACUCAAAAUCUCUCUUUCUUUACUGUUACUUGUGUUUUUGCUUUGUCUAGUUGGAUGAAAGCCAAGGCUUAGACUGUGGAAUCUUUCUUACUUUUCCUUUCUGCACUUUGCUUCUCUACUUGUAUGUCCUAGUUAAUUUUUUUGAGUUCCAACAACAACAUGCUUCUUUAAGUUGUUUCAGUUUCUCAUUCUUGUCUACUUCUGCUUAUGUUUCAGCAGUCAAGUUACACUACUAGCAUGCUGUAAUAUGUUCCCUUCCCCUUUUAAGUUAAUGCU
Molecule: long non-coding RNA, 1735 nt
Filed under: Nicotiana benthamiana
Lineage: Eukaryota; Viridiplantae; Streptophyta; Magnoliopsida; Solanales; Solanaceae
Description: long non-coding RNA (NBEN_LNC026805)
Source: RNAcentral